UUGAACACUGAACACCCAGAUACACAUCGCUGUUUAGUAUGUAUCUCUGUUAUCUAUGGCCAUCGUGUUUGUAUAUGUUCUUAUCAGUUUAUGGUGAUCUGUCUAUUCCACUCGAACUUAUUGUUAACUGCUUAAAUAUAGAUUAAAUUCUUCCAUAAAGUGGACUCAAUGCCCACUCCAGUUACAAAUGCUGAGAAACUCAUUUCGAGUGUCUUGGAAGCAGAACGCCCAACAAUAAGUAUUUUUCAUGAGAAAUCUCUGAUCGAGGCGAACAAGAUUUUCUUAGAGAAACAUAAAGAUUCCUUAAUGCACAGAGUUGCUGCUGCAGAACUACUGUAUGCUUUAUAACCUGACAAGAAAGCUGAGGCUAUUAAGCUAAUUGAGGACGCAACAAACAAUCCGGUGCCAAGGUG
Molecule: long non-coding RNA, 413 nt
Organism: Humulus lupulus (European hop)
Lineage: Eukaryota; Viridiplantae; Streptophyta; Magnoliopsida; Rosales; Cannabaceae
Exons: 3
Source: RefSeq, a predicted model, not a curated record